GAGAGAGAUAGAGAGAGCCACGCCGUGCUCUCUUGGCAUUCACGUUCGUCGGUGAUCGACGUGGCGCGCACAUUUCUAUUGCAUUUUGUUGAUAUGUACACUCGUAGAGUUCUUGUAUGUAUUGGUAUUGGUGAUUCUGUUUAGUUUUGGAUUAGAUUAGUUUAGGCGCCACUACUUGCUCUCAGACGGACAAACGUCGCUCGCUGUCAGGCCCUCGAGACAUGAUCAGAUCGCAUUAGAACAGCCGCUCAAUCCCAACCCAUCCGACUUUUCGGACUUCGUUUCUUGUCACAGCUGUUCAUCUUAAUUUUAACCUUUUCAUUAUUAACGUGGACAUCAAUUGUCCAACUGACUAGCGUCUUGCGCUCGUAAAAUUAUAUUUAAAUACCAACACAUACACGUUUCCGUGUUAAGUUUAAGAGAAAAUGGAAGCCAUUGGACCAUUGUCAACCCACAUGAUAUUUAUCGUACCCUCAUCAAAACUAGGCGAGGCAACGGAAACCCCUGGAAUUUUAAUGCAACCCACUCUACACAAAAAUGCAGACUGGUUUUGGAACUGGGUCCUCUUAUCGCUGAGUUUUUGGGCACCUUCUAUGGCAAAGAAAGUGUAUCUGAGUGUGUUUAUCUUUGGUCUUGCUGCCUGUGUUAGUGUGUGUGUGCGCGUGGUGUGCGUGCCCCGAUAACAUUCGCUCAUGGCGGUCUUAUAGUUGUUGAAUGCUCUCUCACAAUGAAUGAUAUCCACCCCAACCUCAAAGUGAGUUGCAUGAUUAUGCACCUACAUAUGGAUAUGAAGGGUUUUCACGCUUAUUGUCUUUCGAGCGUUAAAAAGUCUCAUUUUGCAGCGUCCCACUUGGUGUAGUGGUUCCCUUAAAGGGGGGUCUUCUGGAUAGGUAUGUACAUACAUAUAUAUGCACAUAAGUUGAGGAGGAAGAGCCGGAUGGCUAGGUGAAAGCCGGUUUCUCAUAGAUCUCAUCCCUGCAUGAACAAAAAGUAGUUACUCGAGUGGUUCGCUGCACUGAGUUGGCUAGAGUCUCUGAAGAGUCUGAGAGCUCUCCAUUUGCUCUCCCGUUUUCCUUCGCCACUGUUUUUCGAAAUUUCCAUUCCUGUCUUCACCAUUAUUCAUGGUUGGCAUCGUUCCUCCCCUUGCAUCGCGUACUGCACUGCUCGAUAUCUUCUCUUCCCUCUUUGGAUGCACACUCGAAUUUGCUUGCAUUGCGUGGGCCUUGCUUUUGGACCUUUGGCAAAUCUAGUAGCUGCUUCUCCAUGCAUACAUACAUACAUAUGUACAUAAAUAUAGUUCGUUGCUUUCGAGGGGAUUGGAGCGGAUGUGCUUUGCUCGGUGGACAAUUUACAAAAUUUGAAUUUAUGAACUGCAGUCUUGUCUGCGCCCUUUCACUUCUCCUUUUCACUAUCUUGUCUUAGCCAUUCGUAUAUGUAUGUACAUAUAUAGGGAAGCAUAUACAUACAUGUAUA
Drosophila guanche is the source of this 1473-nucleotide long non-coding RNA. RefSeq lists it as uncharacterized. The transcript has 3 exons. Lineage: Eukaryota; Metazoa; Arthropoda; Insecta; Diptera; Drosophilidae. The record is from RefSeq and is a predicted model, not a curated record.